GUAUUAGAUACUGGAAGUCCGUUUAAUAUAUGCAAUUCGUUGCAAGGACUUCAGGUCAAUGAGAGAUUUGAAAACAGCGAGAGAUUCCUGAAUGUUGGAGAUGGAAGAUCUGUUCCAGUUCUAGCUUUAAAAAAUCUCAAACUUGUUUUCAAUUCUCAUGUAGUUGUCUUGAGUGAUUGUCACUAUUGUCUUACGUUCUUAUUGAAUGUAAUUUCCGUAGGCCUUUUGGCCAUGAACGGUUAUGAAUUUUAAUAAAGAAAUGUUCUUGUGAUAUCAUUAUAAAUGGUGUUACUGUAA
RNAcentral lists this long non-coding RNA (297 nucleotides) under Phoenix dactylifera (date palm). Its description in RNAcentral is "long non-coding RNA (PDAC_LNC007063)". Lineage: Eukaryota; Viridiplantae; Streptophyta; Magnoliopsida; Arecales; Arecaceae. The record is from RNAcentral.